This 450-nucleotide long non-coding RNA is filed under the name Musa acuminata (dwarf banana). Its description in RNAcentral is "long non-coding RNA (MACU_LNC006398)". The record is from RNAcentral. Lineage: Eukaryota; Viridiplantae; Streptophyta; Magnoliopsida; Zingiberales; Musaceae.
AGCAACAGCAGCAUGAGGGAGGGAGAGAGAGGGAGAAGAGGAAGGUAUUCUUUAAGCUUUACAUCCUCGAGCUUUUGAAGCUCCCUUGUGAGUGUAAUCGAUGAUACGUCGAAGAUGACACAGUACUACAUUGCCUGUUUGCAUGUCUUUCGUCAUUAUUGUCACCCACGGAAGAAAACAGUAAGAAGGAAGUCAACUCUCAAGUCAUUUAUCGAAGCUACAGCAAUCUGUCUCCAAGUCAAGAGUCCAAAUACACGCAUUGGAAACAUUUCAUGUCCUAGAAGACUUGUCACCACCAUCACUGAUCCAUGAGAGAACACAGUGAACAGUUGUUCUACUGCUCGGAACUCAACAAUAGUUAGCAGGGUCAACUUUGUCCUGGUUUGUUCAUUUGCUGGAAAAUGAAGCCUGAUUAGUAGAUUCUCUUCUAGUGUUGAAGAUGGAAAUGCC